CUGUCUCCUCCUAACGGGCAUGCAGGUUGGUUCCAGUUUCCAGCGAUCCUAAACACACUUGGCUGGACCUCCCUGUGCCUACAGAGGUGGGAUUUUGUGACAUAGGUGGGGGGAAAUGGAAUUGCUGGGGUGAAUUGUAGAUCCACGGGAGCUCCAUUGCAACAGAAAAAGGCAUGCCUCUUCAGUUUACUUACAGGUCAGGAUUUCUAACCUUGGCCCCAUUGACAUCCUGGACUGGGUCAUUCUUUGUUGUCAGGCAGCGGGGGAACCGUCCUCUGUAGGAUGUUUAGCAGCAUCCGUGGCUUCUACCCAAUAGAUGCCAGUAAAUCACCACCUCCAGUUGUGACAACCAAAAAUUUCUCCAGACAUUGCCAAAUGUCCCCUGGGAGUCAAAAUCACCCCCAACUGAGAACCAUUGCUGUAACUGUACAGAGCCUAUGAGGAUGAGGAGGAUUUCUUUUUCUUUUCUUUUUUUUUUUAGACAGAGUCUCGCUGUGUCGCGCAAGCUGGAGUGCAGUGGCGCAGUCUCAGCUCUCUGCAACCUCUGCCUCCUGUGCUCAAGUGAUUCUCCUGCCUCAGCCUCCCGAGUAGCCAGGAUUAUAGGCAUGCGCCACCGCGCCCAGCCAAUUUUUGUAUUUUUAGUAAAGACGGGGUUUCACCAUGUUGCCCAGGCUAGUCUUGAACUCCUGACCUCAGGUGAUCCACCUGCCUCGGCCUCCCAAAGUGCUGGGAUUACAGGCAUGAGCCACCGCGCCUGGCCUACGAGGAGGAUUUCUAAGCACAGAUUCUUUAAACAGGUUUUAUGUGUUAUUGACUUUCUUCUCUUUGGGCAGAAGGACAUUUUACCUCCCUAGAAGGGGUGCAAUGACAUUGAUAGUCACUAGUUUAAGAAUAAGAGAUGUCCCUUGCAAGCAGACUCAGAGAAAAAAAAAAGGGUCUCAGUUCCUAAUUGGGAUAAAUAACGAGAUUUGAAUCUGAACGAUAGAAAUUAAAUUAUAGGCCAGGCGCAGUGACUCACACCUGUAAUCCCACUGCUUUGGGAGGCCGAGGCAGACAGAUGACGAGGUCAGGAGAUCGAGACCAUCCUGGCCAACAUGGUGAACCCCAUCUCUACUAAAAAAAAAAAAUACAAAAAUUAACUGGGUGUGGUGGCGUGUGCCUGUAGUCCCAGCUACUCGGGAGGCUGAGGCAGGAGAAUUGCUUUAACCUGGGAGGCGGAGGUAGCGGUGAGCCAAGAUCACGCCAUUGCACUCCAGCCUGGGCAACAAGAGCGAAACUCCAUCUC
RNAcentral lists this long non-coding RNA (1285 nucleotides) under Homo sapiens (human). RNAcentral's name for it is "HSALNT0401598". Lineage: Eukaryota; Metazoa; Chordata; Mammalia; Primates; Hominidae. The record is from RNAcentral.